Limulus polyphemus (Atlantic horseshoe crab) is the source of this 115-nucleotide long non-coding RNA. RefSeq lists it as uncharacterized. The record is from RefSeq and is a predicted model, not a curated record. NCBI's taxonomy places the organism in Eukaryota, Metazoa, Arthropoda, Merostomata, Xiphosura, Limulidae. The transcript is spliced from 3 exons.
GCAACCAUUUUGUACUCGUGCAUUUUACAUUGUGACAAUAAAUUUUAAUAUUGAAAGUCGUGUAGGUAUGAUCUAUGUAUAGCCGUAUCAUCCUCUUAUUUUUUUUUGUUUUGCC